AGCAGCCGCGGUAAUUCCAGCUCCAAUAGCGUAUAUUAAAGUUGUUGCAGUUAAAAAGCUCGUAGUUGAAUUUCGGGGUCAGUAGGUCGGUCGUGCCACUGGUAUGAACUGGUUUUACUGAUUCCUCCCUCUUGAAGAACUGUAAUGCCAUUAAUUUGGUGUUGCAGGGAAUCAGGACUGUUACUUUGAAAAAAUUAGAGUGUUUAAAGCAGGCUUUAGCUUGAAUACAUUAGCAUGGAAUAAUGAAAUAGGACGUUUGAUCCUAUUUUGUUGGUUUCUAGGAUUGACGUAAUGAUUAAUAGGGAUAGUUGGGGGCAUUAGUAUUCAAUUGUCAGAGGUGAAAUUCUUGGAUUUAUUGAAGACUAACUACUGCGAAAGCAUUUGCCAAGGAUGUUUUCAUUAAUCAAGAACGAAAGUUAGGGGAUCGAAGACGAUCAGAUACCGUCGUAGUCUUAACCAUAAACUAUGCCGACCUAGGGAUCGAAGGGAUGUUAAUUUUUUAAAUGACUCA
RNAcentral lists this ribosomal RNA (511 nucleotides) under uncultured Glomeromycotina. RNAcentral's name for it is "SSU rRNA". It matches the Rfam family "Eukaryotic small subunit ribosomal RNA", at positions 569 to 1078 of the family's 1831-position model. The record is from RNAcentral. Lineage: Eukaryota; Fungi; Glomeromycota.